This 240-nucleotide long non-coding RNA is filed under the name Zea mays. RNAcentral's name for it is "long non-coding RNA NONZMAT002860". The record is from RNAcentral. Lineage: Eukaryota; Viridiplantae; Streptophyta; Magnoliopsida; Poales; Poaceae.
GAUGAACCACUCCUUCGGGGGGCUACUGUUUGGCGGAGGCCGAACACGUCCUUGUUCUAAGCUCACAAACCCUACUUCACUAUCAAUUGUAUUCACAGGCUCACUGGUGUAGGGACUCCGACCGAAGAGGCCUUCGAUCAGGCGGGCCCGACAUCGAGGGGCCGCACCGAGCGGCGGCUGAACGAUCAAGACUUUUCGCUACAUCCCAGAAGCGAAGUCCUCGUCACCCCUUGCGGCGCU